GGAGAGGUGCUGGAGUGGUCGAACAGGCUCGCCUGGAAAGCGUGUAGAUGGCAAAAAACCGUCUCGAGGGUUCGAAUCCCUCCCUCUCCG
RNAcentral lists this transfer RNA (90 nucleotides) under Thermodesulfobium narugense DSM 14796. It matches the Rfam family "tRNA". Rfam says of the family: Transfer RNA (tRNA) molecules are approximately 80 nucleotides in length. Their secondary structure includes four short double-helical elements and three loops (D, anti-codon, and T loops). Further hydrogen bonds mediate the characteristic L-shaped molecular structure. tRNAs have two regions of fundamental functional importance: the anti-codon, which is responsible for specific mRNA codon recognition, and the 3' end, to which the tRNAs corresponding amino acid is attached (by aminoacyl-tRNA synthetases). tRNAs cope with the degeneracy of the genetic code in two manners: having more than one tRNA (with a specific anti-codon) for a particular amino acid; and 'wobble' base-pairing, i.e. permitting non-standard base-pairing at the 3rd anti-codon position. The record is from Rfam by way of RNAcentral. Lineage: Bacteria; Pseudomonadati; Thermodesulfobiota; Thermodesulfobiia; Thermodesulfobiales; Thermodesulfobiaceae. RNAcentral also lists the same sequence under 1 other name.